Molecule: ribosomal RNA, 117 nt
Filed under: Pteropus alecto (black flying fox)
Lineage: Eukaryota; Metazoa; Chordata; Mammalia; Chiroptera; Pteropodidae
Source: RNAcentral
GUCUACGGCCAUGCCACCUGAAUGUGCCCGAUCCCAUCUGAUCUCAGAAGCUAAGCAGGGUCGGGCCUGGUUAGUACUGGAUGGGAGACCACCUAGGAAUACCAGGUGCAGUAGGUG